This 250-nucleotide ribosomal RNA is filed under the name uncultured bacterium. RNAcentral's name for it is "partial 16S ribosomal RNA". It matches the Rfam family "Bacterial small subunit ribosomal RNA", at positions 94 to 339 of the family's 1533-position model. The record is from RNAcentral.
AGUGGCGAACGGGUGAGUAACACGUGGGUAACCUGCCUUUGACUGGGGGAUAGCCCGGGGAAACCCGGAUUAAUACCCCAUAUCGCAUCUUUCCAUAAGGAAAGUUGUGAAAGUUGCCUUGUGCUUCGGUCAUUGAUGGGCCCGCGGUGGAUUAGUUAGUUGGUGGGGUAAUGGCCUACCAAGACCGCGAUCCAUAGCUGGUCUGAGAGGACGAUCAGCCACACUGGAACUGAGACACGGUCCAGACUCC